GGUUCUAUAACUCAGAGGUAGGAGCUCAUUUCUUCAAGUUUCCCUUCAUUGAUUUUAUGAUCUCUUCUUCUUGUUGCUCAAAAAACCUUUAGCAUAUAUCUCUGGCAUAAAGUUGCAAAUAAUGUGAUUGCGAUGUAAGCAUGAAACACCUUGGUAGCUAAUCUUUAAUUUCUUAAAUGCACUUUUGUCAAAAUAUUCCAAUCUAGAAUUUUCUCGGAAGAAAUGGGAAAAAAGUUACUGUCCAUAUGUAUAGGUUUUUAAAAUGUGUUGCAAUGUUAGGCUGGCCAUAUCAAAUACUUCCAUUUGGUAAACUGAAAUGGAAUCAUAAAAGAUAACAAUCCUCGAAGAUUGUAAGUAUGCCUUGUGGAUGUUUUUGCCUAGGGUUCCCCUCUUUAUCUGUCUUGCAUUUUUUUUCUCUUACCCAUCCAUGUGCAUGACAAGGAUGAAACUUGAUCUUAUUCUGUGCGUAUGGUCUGUAAAAGCAUGCCUGGAGAGAAUGGCAAUCCUGUCCUUGAAAGUAGUACUCAUUCUGUUUCUAAUACCUUGUGUUAGCGGAGGAUCUUAUGCCUUGUAUGUCCAAGUUUUCCUAUAAAACACAAUAAAGGAUUGGGAUAGCAGCGUUAAACAUCAAAUUUCAAUUUCCAUAGUCUUUGAGACUGAGAAUUGCUCUAAAGGGAUGGUAACUGGUGAUGGUAAUAGUAUCUCAAUAUUAGUAUGUGAAUCUUUCCAGUACUCUAGGGCAUAACCAGGUUAUUAUAGUAGUAUUUUAAACAUUUAGUUGAACAUGGUACUGAAUAUUGUUG
This 803-nucleotide unclassified non-coding RNA is filed under the name Hevea brasiliensis (rubber tree). The record is from RNAcentral. Lineage: Eukaryota; Viridiplantae; Streptophyta; Magnoliopsida; Malpighiales; Euphorbiaceae.